UCACUUUUACACUGAAAGUGUAAAAAAAAAACCCCGCCGAAUUGAUCUGACUCCGCCCCUCAAGCACCUCUGCCUCGCAGAGCGACGACGCCAUUUUAUCUUCAGGCGACCAAGACGGUAUACAGUGUUAUGUUCGUGAGGUGUAGAGAGGCAACCUUAGCCUACAGAAGAGUGAAAGUUUCUAAUCCGGGUUCGAUUUCCUGAAAUAAGAUCCUCUCGUCUCUAUUCCGCCGAGGCCUGGUUUUACUACGAGUCUGAAGCAGCCACAUUUGGGCGGUUUUCUACUCCGAGGAGAGGAUUCAUCAAAUGUAGAAUUGGCCCAGACUUCUGCAGUGUCAAGUGAAGGAAGCUCCUCUCAUAAGAUUGCAGACCUGGAGUCUGAUGACACCGAGCGAGUGAUGGAGGGAGCAGAAUGAUGAAGAUGAAGCCAGAAUUAAACCAAGUUCCUGGCUUUUCUCGAGACCUUCAAGGACCCGAUUGACCUCGGAAUCAGCUGUAAAGGAGGAUGAAACCGAUGUUUAAGAAUGGGACAGCGAUAUUGCAUCAAUUUGUCUCCUUCAUUUGGUUCCACCAUCGCUGCAAGGGACCUGGAGAAAUGUCCUCCUAUCAAGCUGAAAAACAUCUUCAAAAAGGCACUAACCAGAAGAACACCUUGAUUGCAUAGAAGAGACCACACAGCCAUACCUGCUCGCUGAUGGGACAACGAGGAACAGCACUGCUACACAACUGUCGACAAGUAUCUUGCUGCAAUCUUGUUCAAAUCUACCUGUCAUAUUUGUUAAUGUCUAGGUAAAUUUUAUGAUUUUGUGUUUUAUUAACUCUUUUAUGUUUCUGUGCAACACUUAAUGAAUGUGACUGACUAAUUAACCUCUACACAUCUGGUAUAUGCUUUAAAGUUGCCACUUUGCCCAUUUGUUAAAUAAACGUUGGAAUUUGUACAUCUGUCUGAAGACUCUUGAUUUUAUGUCUAAUCUUGUACAUUAACACUAUACAAUAGCAUUUUUAUUUUUGCACUGAAAAGAAUACUUUAUUAAUAACACUUAAAACAACACCAGGGGUGUUAAAUACCCCAGAGUGUAAAAUUUGAACAAUUGCAAGUGUAACAAUUCACACUCGGAGUGCAAUUUUUCUACACUAUAAGGUGCUAUAUUAACACUAAAAAUUCAACACUAUGAAUGGUGUACUUUUAACACUACACCGAUUGGGACCAUAUAUGAUCUUUAGUAGUGUUAAACUGACACUGCGUUUUUUUUACUGUGUACAAAACUGCCAAGUUUUCCUUUCAUUGUAAUCAACAUGAUCAAAUCACGUAACCAUUGCUUUAAUUUGUUCAUUGUUUCUGAACUCAUGACAUUAAUUAACUGCAUGAUUUGUAUAGCCUAAUUUUAGAACAUGUCUGCCAUAUGUACAUUACUUUAGCACAGUUACACCUGUUAACAAAAAUCUUAUUUGUAAAUGUAGAAACGUUCAUUUUCUGUAAAGGUGCUUUGAAACAAUGUAAUAAAAAGUGCUAUACAAAUAAAUGUGAAUUGAACAAAACUUGAUGCAUUUUUUUUCUCCUCUCCGUGUCAGUAGGGAAACCAUACAUUCACACUCC
Onychostoma macrolepis is the source of this 1597-nucleotide long non-coding RNA. RefSeq lists it as uncharacterized. NCBI's taxonomy places the organism in Eukaryota, Metazoa, Chordata, Actinopteri, Cypriniformes, Cyprinidae. The transcript has 7 exons. The record is from RefSeq and is a predicted model, not a curated record.